UUGUUGUCAUUUUUCUGCAAUUUAAAAAUCUUUUAAAAAUCGCUUAUCGAGCUAUUGGGUAAACGAACAACAAAUGCAAUUGGGACCUCACCGGCUUUAUCAACAAAUAACAACUUCUCAAGCUUCAUCCGGCAGCUCAACACUUAUGCAAAUUUAGGUGGAGAAGGACUAUGGUAGCCACAAGAUGAAUGUAAAAUGAAGAUGUGGCUGCUCGAGUGCGAACUCUUUUUGAUUUUGUUUCUUGUCUUGUAGAUACAAUAUAGUUGAGAAAAAAUCAGGUACAUUAAUUUUACUGGUAUGUUUUUUUGUGACUUUAUUUGGCGAAUGGAGAUUGAGUGAUGUUGGCUAAUUUGUGACUUUAUUUGGCGAAUGAAUAUGGAUUUCAGAUGGGUUCUUUAUACAAAUCUCUAAAUUGGAAAAUAUUUGUUGCUAAAUGCUUGAUUUUUCAUAGUUCGGAAAACUCUUUUUUAUGCUUUACUUUUGAUUUAUCAAGUAUGGUGCUAUGUUGAUUAAUUUAAGUAUGUAUGCAGUAUGUUUAGUUUCUAGGACAUUUCUUAACAAUUUUAUGGUGCAGGCUACAAUAUAGUAGACAAAGUCUUUUAAAGUGAGCAACUAAUAAAUGAGAGUCAUAAGGUUUUUAUCAUUAGAAAUGUAAGAAGAAGAGCUAAAGGUAUACUAGAAAUAAAAGUCAUAAGUCAUAAGGUCUGUUUAGUUCCUAUUUAUGUCGUUUGACUCUAGUAUAUUAUGAUUGUAGGAAUUUUAGAAUUGGAGUUGGGAAGAGUUGGCCCUGUACGAUCUUGCAGAAAUGAUUAACUAUAUAAAUUCCUUGACAAACAGGAAAAUUUAUAUUGUUGGACACUCACAGGGAAUAAUUAUGUCUUUUGCUGCUCUUACCCAGCCAUAAAUAGCCAAGAAUGUUGAAGCAGCUGCUCUUUUAAGUCUAUAUCGUACUUGGAACAUAUUACUGCUCCAUUAGUACGUCUAAUGGUUGACACACAUCUUGAUACGAUAAUUCUUGCCUCAGGAUUUCAUGAACUCAACUUUAAAAGCGAUUGGGGAACAAUCCUUUUAGAUAAUCUUUGUGAUCGGCUUGUUAACUGCAUCAAUGUUCUUAGUUCAAUAACAGAUAAUUGAAGUCAUAUCGGGUUGAAAGCUAAGCGAUUGUGCAGAGAUUGCCAAGCGACCGUUGAAAAUUGAAGAUUGAGAAGGCAUUUAGGAUUUUUAAUUAUUUAAUUCUUGUAUUAGAAUCUUUUUUCAUGUACUAUUGUAGAAUGUAUAUAUAAACAUAAUAUUAAGAUUUUAUUUUGUGUAUUCAAAUGUAAAAGACAAAUAUUAUAGUUUCUAACAUAAUAUGAAUUUGUUGGCGUGUGAAAAA
Molecule: long non-coding RNA, 1375 nt
Organism: Cucumis melo (muskmelon)
Lineage: Eukaryota; Viridiplantae; Streptophyta; Magnoliopsida; Cucurbitales; Cucurbitaceae
Exons: 7
Source: RefSeq, a predicted model, not a curated record